RNAcentral lists this ribosomal RNA (418 nucleotides) under Thermoplasmatales archaeon. RNAcentral describes it as "bacterial SSU rRNA". It matches the Rfam family "Archaeal small subunit ribosomal RNA", at positions 1 to 407 of the family's 1478-position model. The record is from RNAcentral. Lineage: Archaea; Methanobacteriati; Thermoplasmatota; Thermoplasmata; Thermoplasmatales.
ACCCCGGUUGAUCCUGCCGGAGGCCACUGCUAUCGGAGUCCGACUAAGCCAUGCGAGUCGAGGGGUCUGUUCCCUUUUGGGAACAGACACCGGCGAACGGCUCAGUAACACGUGGCUAACCUACCCUCGGGUGGGGGAUAACCUCGGGAAACUGAGGCUAAUCCCCCAUAGGUCUAGGUUGCUGGAAUGCGCCUAGGCCGAAAGCUCCGGCGCCCGAGGAUGGGGCUGCGGCCUAUCAGGUUGUAGUGGGGGUAACGGCCCCACUAGCCUACGACGGGUACGGGCCCUGAGAGGGGGAGCCCGGAGAUGGACCCUGAGACAAGGGUCCAGGCCCUACGGGGCGCAGCAGGCGCGAAACCUCCGCAAUGCGCGCAAGCGCGACGGGGGGACUCCGAGUGCCCUGGCCUUUGGUCAGGGC